This 145-nucleotide microRNA precursor is filed under the name Gossypium hirsutum (cotton). RNAcentral describes it as "MIR7502 microRNA precursor family". It matches the Rfam family "MIR7502 microRNA precursor family". Lineage: Eukaryota; Viridiplantae; Streptophyta; Magnoliopsida; Malvales; Malvaceae. The record is from Rfam by way of RNAcentral.
UAUUAAAAAACUUAUCCAUUUCGACUGUUAAAAAAUUGGUGUGUCUGAUGAAAUAACUAGACAAUUACAUGUGACGUGCCACAUGUACCUCAUGCUAACAUACAUGAACCAAUUUUUAAUAGUAGAUUUGGAUUAAUUUUUAACA